CCUACGGGUGGCAGCAGUGAGGAAUAUUGGUCAAUGGGCUUACGCCUGAACCAGCCAAGUCGCGUGAGGGAAGACUGCCCUAUGGUUUGUAAACCUCUUUUGUCAGGGAGCAACGCCGGCUACGUGUAGACGGACUGAGAGUACCUGCAGAAAAAGCAUCCGCUAACUCCGUGCCAGCAGCCGCGGUAAUACGGAGGAUGCGAGCGGUAUCCGGAUUUAGUGGGUUAAAAGGGUGCGUAGGCGGAAUGCCAAGUCAGCGGGAAAAUCGCGGGGCUCAACCUCGUUCCGCCGUUGAAACUGGCAUUCGUGAGUGGGCGAGAGGUAUGCGGAAUGCGUGGUGUAGCGGUGAAAUGCAUAGAUAUCACGCAGAACUCCGAUUGCGAAGGCAGCAUACCGGCGCCCAACUGACGCUGAGGCACGAAAGCGUGGGUAUCGAACAGGAUUAGAUACCCCUGUAGUC
Molecule: ribosomal RNA, 460 nt
Filed under: uncultured bacterium
Lineage: Bacteria
Description: partial 16S ribosomal RNA
Rfam family: Bacterial small subunit ribosomal RNA
Source: RNAcentral